CGCGGACGCUGCGUUACCAUGCAAGUCGAACGAUGAUGCCCAUCUUGCUGGGUGGAUUAGUGGCGAACGGGUGAGUAAUACGUGAGUAACCUGCCCUUGACUCUGGGAUAAGCCUGGGAAACUGGGUCUAAUACUGGAUACUACCGUCCAUCGCAUGGUGGGUGGUGGAAAGGGUUUUACUGGUUUUGGAUGGGCUCACGGCCUAUCAGCUUGUUGGUGGGGUAAUGGCUCACCAAGGCGACAACGGGUAGCCGGCCUGAGAGGGUGACCGGCCCCGCUGGGACUGAAACGCGGCCCAUACUCCUACGGGAGGCAGCGGUGGGUAUUAUUGCACGAUGGGCGGAAUCCUGAUGCAGCGACGCCUCGUGAAGGAUGACGGCCUUCUGGUUGUAAACUUCUUUCAGUAAGGAAAAACCGAGAUUGACGGUACCUGCAGAAUAACCGCCGGCUAACUACGUGCCACCACCCGCGGUAAUACGUAGGGCGCAAGCGUUGUCCGGAAUUAUUGGGCGUAAAGAGCUCGUAGGCGGUUUGUCUCGUCUGCUGUGAAAGCCCGGGGCUCAACCCCGGGUCUGCAGUGGGUACGGGCAUACUAUAGUGCACUUAGGGGAGACUGUAAUUCCUGGUGUAGCGGUGAAAUGCGCAGUAUAUCAGGAGGAACACCGAUGGCGAAGGCAGGUCUCUGGGCUGUUACUGACGCUGAGGAGCUAAAGCAUGGGGAGCGAACAGGAUUGGAUACCCUGGUAGUCCAUGCCCUAAACGUUUUCGCACCUACGUAGUGGGAGGACAUUUCAGUGUUUCGCGGCGUCCGUUAUCUAAAGCAAUUAUAUGCCACCGCCUGGAGGAGUACCGCCUCGACGACUACUACCUCAAAGGAAAUUGAGGGGAGAGCCAGUAGCAGCGGCCGCAGCAUGCGGAUUAAUCGUUGGCGACUCAUACAUCUUACGAGGCUUGACUUUCUCCGCAUCGCUCGUAGAGGUCGUUUCUCCUUACGGGGUCGGUCGACAAGAUGGUAGCAUGCUGUCGUCAGCCUCAUGUCCGUGAGAUCGUAGGUGAGUGCGACAACGAGCUGCAGUCCUCUUCUAUCUACCGCUCGUCGAUGUGGACUCAUAGCAACUGGACAGGAUCACCUGGUAGCAUCGUGGGAUGACGUCAUCACUUAGCCUAGUCUGCUUCCGUUCCAAGUCGCUACAGCGUCGAGUCUGUCAGUGGACGUAGUCA
Molecule: ribosomal RNA, 1221 nt
Filed under: Kocuria rosea subsp. polaris
Lineage: Bacteria; Bacillati; Actinomycetota; Actinomycetes; Micrococcales; Micrococcaceae
Description: bacterial SSU rRNA
Rfam family: Bacterial small subunit ribosomal RNA
Source: RNAcentral